Vespa velutina is the source of this 2150-nucleotide long non-coding RNA. RefSeq lists it as uncharacterized. NCBI's taxonomy places the organism in Eukaryota, Metazoa, Arthropoda, Insecta, Hymenoptera, Vespidae. The transcript has 3 exons. The record is from RefSeq and is a predicted model, not a curated record.
ACACUCAAGAUUAUGAUUUGCGCGCGUUAAGUUACGCGUUUAGGAAAGUUUUUAAGAAGAGACGAAGUUAGAGAUAUCCACCAAACUCACGUAACUAUUUUCACUUAAUCUAAUUCGAUUGAAGUUUCUUACACUGAAAACGAGUGUUUUGUCAAUGAUGUUAUCUUGCAACGAUUGAUUGAUUAGAGAAAAAAAUUCAUAAGAGAAAAUAUUUUUAUUUGAAUUUCGAUUGAAAGAGAUAGAGAGAUCCAUGAUCGGUAUCAAAAAGAUUGAUUUAAAUAAUCUUCACUGUAUAACUAUCAUCGUUUCGAUGUCACCCCAGCUGUUAUUAGUCGAGUAGGCGGAGCUUGACGUCGAAAAAUAUGUAAGGAAGGGGUAAAAGCUUCGUAAGAAAUGUAGAUAGGUACAUGUGUACUUACACAGGAGACAAAUUUGGUAACAUCAAAACUUGGAAUCUAAUCUUGGAAGAAAACUUAAUGAUGAUAACCGUAAGAAAAAUCAGUUGAAUAUUUUUUUUCGAAGAAGCUACAUAUAUCUAAUGAUGCUAUAAAAGUUCGAUUGAGAUGAUGACCUACAUACAUCGUAAAAAAACAGAAAUAAUAUGCAACAGACCAGAUGAAUUUCUUAAAUAAAGAUCAUAAAGACGAAAAAGGCCGCGGUUAUUACGAUGUGUCGAGGAAAAUGGGAACACGAGAGAGGUGAGUAAAAGGGACCAAUGGGAUCUCUCUCGAAACGUGCACCGGGAGUAACUCGACAUGGCGCGUGGCUCGGCACGGUGGCCGCCAUACUCAUUUCUUUCCCUUUCCUUCAUACGGACCGACCGACCGACCGACCAACCCUGCCUCGAGCGGACAUGCACGACGGUAUGUGUCAGGACGAAAGAUAGAAAAAUAAGAUCAAUGCUCGAGCAAUAAAGGAUAUAUCUUUGGCUUGUUCUCUUUCUCUUUUUCUCUCUCUCUCUCUCCCUCUUUCUCGAGUGAGAAAGAGUCACAAGUUCUAUCAUCGUCGUUAUAUCGUCAUUGUUGUCCUUAUCAAUCUUCUACCACGACUACGUUGUCGCAUGGCUAGUUAAAAAAAAGAGAAUCGACGACAGUAGUGGCGGCUAGUAACCCGCCGUAAGAAGAGUGGACACGCCAUGACAGAUGAUACGGCACGCACAACAAACAAGUCCACUUGCCAAAUAGAAGCCGCGCGGUGGCGGCAGCGGCAUGAAAACCGCGGGAAUCGCGACGAGGGACAUUCGUUAUUUAUAUCGAAUAUAGGAUCGACAAUGAUUGACGAUAUUCGACAAUAGAUUAACGAUUAGAGAUGAUCCUACGUUAAAUCGUAGCGUCGUAGUCUGAUGCACUGUCAAUGUCAGGACACUUAGUAGCAUCAUCAAAGAAAAAUUGGGGACGUUAAUGUUAGGAUGGCAGUUGUUGUACAUACAUACGUACGUACAUACAUACAUACAUACAAUACGUUACCCGCACCCCGCACACGCCGUCACCGAACGAUCCGUCGUUCUUGCAUACGCGAGUGAAAGUUUUCACUCGGCACUUGACAUAAACCGGCCUGAUUUUUCCCGCCGAUCGAAUCGAAUGUGUCGGCGAACGCGAAAGACGAUGCUCGUAAUAUUUCACAGCGAUGAAAAUACUUAUGAAAUGCAGCCGACGAUACGAGGCAACGUAAUAGAGCAGAUCCUCGACCUCCCCCGCGAGUGGGGAACACAUCGGAGACGCUUGACAACUUGGGAACAUAUUUGUUGAUCUCGUGAACGUGAUUACGCGUGACAAUCGAUCCGAACGAUGACGCGUCCUUCAUACGAUAAUCCCUUACCUUUUCGCGACGAUCGUGGAUGAAAAUCACAUGUACAAAAGUAAGAGGGAAACGAAAUGGUAUGCUACGACCAAUGAGAAUGCAUUUAACGAGGACGACAUUUGAUGAAGAGAAAUACGAUUGGUAAUAAUUUGCGGAAUGACAUAGAAGGGACAUAUAUUUGACUCCAUUUCCGUUUCUUGGAUUUGAGUUGUAUUAACCGUUUAUUCGAUGAAGUUAGGUUAUGGUAAGAUGAAAUUUCUUUUAAAAAUAUAUUUUCGUAUAUAGAUAGACACAUAUGUAUAUGUAUAUAUAUAUGAAUGGAUUCGUUUAAAAAUAUUUUGAAUUUUUUA